RNAcentral lists this ribosomal RNA (613 nucleotides) under Burkholderia cenocepacia. RNAcentral describes it as "bacterial SSU rRNA". It matches the Rfam family "Bacterial small subunit ribosomal RNA", at positions 50 to 655 of the family's 1533-position model. Lineage: Bacteria; Pseudomonadati; Pseudomonadota; Betaproteobacteria; Burkholderiales; Burkholderiaceae. The record is from RNAcentral.
UUAACAUGCAGUCGAACGGCAGCACGGGUGCUUGCACCUGGUGGCGAGUGGCGAACGGGUGAGUAAUACAUCGGAACAUGUCCUGUAGUGGGGGAUAGCCCGGCGAAAGCCGGAUUAAUACCGCAUACGAUCCACGGAUGAAAGCGGGGGACCUUCGGGCCUCGCGCUAUAGGGUUGGCCGAUGGCUGAUUAGCUAGUUGGUGGGGUAAAGGCCUACCAAGGCGACGAUCAGUAGCUGGUCUGAGAGGACGACCAGCCACACUGGGACUGAGACACGGCCCAGACUCCUACGGGAGGCAGCAGUGGGGAAUUUUGGACAAUGGGCGAAAGCCUGAUCCAGCAAUGCCGCGUGUGUGAAGAAGGCCUUCGGGUUGUAAAGCACUUUUGUCCGGAAAGAAAUCCUUGGCUCUAAUACAGUCGGGGGAUGACGGUACCGGAAGAAUAAGCACCGGCUAACUACGUGCCAGCAGCCGCGGUAAUACGUAGGGUGCGAGCGUUAAUCGGAAUUACUGGGCGUACAGCGUGCGCAGGCGGUUUGCUAAGACCGAUGUGAAAUCCCCGGGACUCAACCUGGGGAACUGCAUUGGUGACUGGCAGGCUAAGUAUGGCCAGA